AUGCUCCCUGUGCUCCCUCCAUUCCUCUCCCUGGUGCUCCCCGUGUUCCCUCCAACCUUUUUGAUCUUCCCUGUGCUCCCUCCCUCCAUCUCCUGGUUUCCCCUUUGUCCUCACACUCCCUCCAUCCUUCCUUAUCCUCUCUGUGUCCCUGCGUUCCCUCCCUCCUCUCCCUGCUCCUCCCCGCUGGCGCUGGGCAGGGAGGGCACUGCAGGGGACAGCGUGGGUGACACGGGGUCAGUGCCACGGUGUUCCCAUGGGAAUUGGCACCUGCCAUGGCCUAGAACGGGGCUUUCCUCUGCCCUGUUGGACAGCCAGGCAGGGUGGAACCAGCACACCCACCUGGGCCACAGCUGGAGCUGCUCCGGAGCAGCUGGGGCAGGAUUUGCUCCUGCAGUGCCACAGGAAUUGCCUCGUGCUCAGAGUGAAUCUUCCAGUGCCCAAAUCCCUCCAGGCUGUGCUCACACCCAGCACUUCCAGAGGGACCAGAGAACACAAGUCCCCAGAACAGAACCUUCGGGCUGUUUGGGGACACCUGGAACUGGGGACCUGGCUGGCACAGUUGGAGCUCUGGGAUCCUGCUCUGGGACCCUGCUCUGGGAUUCUGGGACCCUGCUCUGGGAUUCUGGGACCCUGCUCUGGGGCCCUGCUCUGGGGCCCUGCUCUGGGAUUCUGGGACCCUGCUCUGGGACCCUGCUCUGGGGCCCUGCUCUGGGACCCUGCUCUGGGACCCUGCUCUGGCACCCUGCUCUAGGAUCCUGCUCUGGGACCCUGCUCUGGGACCCUGCUCUGGGAUUCUGGGACCCUGCUCUGGUUCUCUGCUCUGGGAUCCUGCUCUGGGACCUUGCUCUAGGAUCCUGCUCCAGGAUUCUGCUCUGGGACUCUGCUGAAUUGCUGCCCUCCAACAGCAGCACCUUGUGGGUCUCUGAUUCAGUCAAAGAAAGAAACAGAGAGUUUCUAUCCAGGCAGAAGCCUGGGAAAGAGCUGGAAAAGAAUGUAAAUAAUUCUUUAUCUCUCUUGUUUUUCACAUUUUUUAUAGUUAAGUUCUGUCACUGUGUGUCAAGCACUCUGCACCAAUGCUGUGGGUUGUUUUCACUUCAGAACCAAUGGAGUUGGCCCUCACAGAGCUCUGUAUAA
Molecule: long non-coding RNA, 1134 nt
Filed under: Lonchura striata (white-rumped munia)
Lineage: Eukaryota; Metazoa; Chordata; Aves; Passeriformes; Estrildidae
Description: domestica (Bengalese finch) lncRNA (ENSLSDG00000014260.1)
Source: RNAcentral